Molecule: transfer RNA, 74 nt
Filed under: Stygiolobus azoricus
Lineage: Archaea; Thermoproteati; Thermoproteota; Thermoprotei; Sulfolobales; Sulfolobaceae
Also listed under: 5 other names
Description: tRNA-Thr
Rfam family: tRNA
About the family: Transfer RNA (tRNA) molecules are approximately 80 nucleotides in length. Their secondary structure includes four short double-helical elements and three loops (D, anti-codon, and T loops).
Source: RNAcentral
GCCGCCGUAGCUCAGACUGGUAGAGCGCCGGCCUCGUAAGCCGGUGGUCCGGGGUUCAAGUCCCCGCGGCGGCU